UAGGGAAUCUUCCACAAUGGACGCAAGUCUGAUGGAGCAACGCCGCGUGAGUGAAGAAGGCUUUCGGGUCGUAAAACUCUGUUAUUGAAGAAGAACGUGUGUGACAGUAACUGGUCACGCAGUGACGGUAUUCAAUCAGAAAAGGUCACGGCUAACUACGUGCCAGCAGCCGCGGUAAUACGUAGGUGGCAAGCGUUGUCCGGAUUUAUUGGGCGUAAAGCGAGUGCAGGCGGUCUUUUAAGUCUGAUGUGAAAGCCUUCGGCUUAACCGAAGAAGGGCAUCGGAAACUGGGAGACUUGAGUGCAGAAGA
This 310-nucleotide ribosomal RNA is filed under the name uncultured bacterium. Its description in RNAcentral is "partial 16S ribosomal RNA". It matches the Rfam family "Bacterial small subunit ribosomal RNA", at positions 355 to 655 of the family's 1533-position model. The record is from RNAcentral.